UACGUAGGGUGCGAGCGUUGUCCGGAAUUAUUGGGCGUAAAGAGCUCGUAGGCGGUCUGUCGCGUCUGCUGUGAAAUCCCGAGGCUCAACCUCGGGCUUGCAGUGGGUACGGGCAGGCUAGAGUGCGGUAGGGGAGAAUGGAACUCCUGGUGUAGCGGUGGAAUGCGCAGAUAUCAGGAAGAACACCGAUGGCGAAGGCAGUUCUCUGGGCCGUAACUGACGCUGAGGAGCGAAAGCGUGGGGAGCGAACAGG
This 253-nucleotide ribosomal RNA is filed under the name uncultured bacterium. RNAcentral describes it as "partial 16S ribosomal RNA". It matches the Rfam family "Bacterial small subunit ribosomal RNA", at positions 524 to 776 of the family's 1533-position model. The record is from RNAcentral.